UUAAGCGACUAAGCGUACACGGUGGAUGCCCUGGCAGUCAGAGGCGAUGAAGGACGUGCUAAUCUGCGAUAAGCGCCGGUAAGGUGAUAUGAACCGUUAUAACCGGCGAUUUCCGAAUGGGGAAACCCAGUGUGAUUCGUCACACUAUCAUUAACUGAAUCCAUAGGUUAAUGAGGCGAACCGGGGGAACUGAAACAUCUAAGUACCCCGAGGAAAAGAAAUCAACCGAGAUUCCCCCAGUAGCGGCGAGCGAACGGGGAGGAGCCCAGAGCCUGAAUCAGCAUGUGUGUUAGUGGAAGCGUCUGGAAAGGUGCGCGAUACAGGGUGACAGCCCCGUACACAAAAGCGCAUGUGCUGUGAGCUCGAUGAGUAGGGCGGGACACGUGGUAUCCUGUCUGAAUAUGGGGGGACCAUCCUCCAAGGCUAAAUACUCCUGACUGACCGAUAGUGAACCAGUACCGUGAGGGAAAGGCGAAAAGAACCCCGGCGAGGGGAGUGAAAAAGAACCUGAAACCGUGUACGUACAAGCAGUGGGAGCACAGGUUUACCUGUGUGACUGCGUACCUUUUGUAUAAUGGGUCAGCGACUUAUAUUCUGUAGCAAGGUUAACCGAAUAGGGGAGCCGGAGGGAAACCGAGUCUUAAUUGGGCGUUAAGUUGCAGGGUAUAGACCCGAAACCCGGUGAUCUAGCCAUGGGCAGGUUGAAGGUUGGGUAACACUAACUGGAGGACCGAACCGACUAAUGUUGAAAAAUUAGCGGAUGACCUGUGGCUGGGGGUGAAAGGCCAAUCAAACCGGGAGAUAGCUGGUUCUCCCCGAAAGCUAUUUAGGUAGCGCCUCGUGAAUUCAUCUCCGGGGGUAGAGCACUGUUUCGGCUAGGGGGCCAUCCCGGCUUACCAACCCGAUGCAAACUGCGAAUACCGGAGAAUGUUAUCACGGGAGACACACGGCGGGUGCUAACGUCCGUCGUGAAGAGGGAAACAACCCAGACCGCCAGCUAAGGUCCCAAAGUCAUGGUUAAGUGGGAAACGAUGUGGGAAGGCCCAGACAGCCAGGAUGUUGGCUUAGAAGCAGCCAUCAUUUAAAGAAAGCGUAAUAGCUCACUGGUCGAGUCGGCCUGCGCGGAAGAUGUAACGGGGCUAAACCAUGCACCGAAGCUGCGGCAGCGACGCUGAUGCGUUGUUGGGUAGGGGAGCGUUCUGUAAGCCUGCGAAGGUGACCUGUGAGGGUUGCUGGAGGUAUCAGAAGUGCGAAUGCUGACAUAAGUAACGAUAAAGCGGGUGAAAAGCCCGCUCGCCGGAAGACCAAGGGUUCCUGUCCAACGUUAAUCGGGGCAGGGUGAGUCGACCCCUAAGGCGAGGCCGAAAGGCGUAGUCGAUGGGAAACGGGUUAAUAUUCCCGUACUUGGUGUUACUGCGAAGGGGGGACGGAGAAGGCUAUGUUGGCCGGGCGACGGUUGUCCCGGUUUAAGCGUGUAGGUGUGUGUUCCAGGUAAAUCCGGUUCACUUUAACACUGAGGCGUGACGACGAGGCACUACGGUGCUGAAGCAACAAAUGCCCUGCUUCCAGGAAAAGCCUCUAAGCAUCAGGUAACAUCAAAUCGUACCCCAAACCGACACAGGUGGUCAGGUAGAGAAUACCAAGGCGCUUGAGAGAACUCGGGUGAAGGAACUAGGCAAAAUGGUGCCGUAACUUCGGGAGAAGGCACGCUGACACGUAGGUGAAGUGAUUUACUCAUGGAGCUGAAGUCAGUCGAAGAUACCAGCUGGCUGCAACUGUUUAUUAAAAACACAGCACUGUGCAAACACGAAAGUGGACGUAUACGGUGUGACGCCUGCCCGGUGCCGGAAGGUUAAUUGAUGGGGUCAGCGUAAGCGAAGCUCCUGAUCGAAGCCCCGGUAAACGGCGGCCGUAACUAUAACGGUCCUAAGGUAGCGAAAUUCCUUGUCGGGUAAGUUCCGACCUGCACGAAUGGCGUAAUGAUGGCCAGGCUGUCUCCACCCGAGACUCAGUGAAAUUGAACUCGCUGUGAAGAUGCAGUGUACCCGCGGCAAGACGGAAAGACCCCGUGAACCUUUACUAUAGCUUGACACUGAACAUUGAGCCUUGAUGUGUAGGAUAGGUGGGAGGCUUUGAAGUGUGGACGCCAGUCUGCAUGGAGCCGACCUUGAAAUACCACCCUUUAAUGUUUGAUGUUCUAACGUGGACCCGUAAUCCGGGUUGCGGACAGUGUCUGGUGGGUAGUUUGACUGGGGCGGUCUCCUCCUAAAGAGUAACGGAGGAGCACGAAGGUUGGCUAAUCCUGGUCGGACAUCAGGAGGUUAGUGCAAUGGCAUAAGCCAGCUUGACUGCGAGCGUGACGGCGCGAGCAGGUGCGAAAGCAGGUCAUAGUGAUCCGGUGGUUCUGAAUGGAAGGGCCAUCGCUCAACGGAUAAAAGGUACUCCGGGGAUAACAGGCUGAUACCGCCCAAGAGUUCAUAUCGACGGCGGUGUUUGGCACCUCGAUGUCGGCUCAUCACAUCCUGGGGCUGAAGUAGGUCCCAAGGGUAUGGCUGUUCGCCAUUUAAAGUGGUACGCGAGCUGGGUUUAGAACGUCGUGAGACAGUUCGGUCCCUAUCUGCCGUGGGCGCUGGAGAACUGAGGGGGGCUGCUCCUAGUACGAGAGGACCGGAGUGGACGCAUCACUGGUGUUCGGGUUGUCAUGCCAAUGGCACUGCCCGGUAGCUAAAUGCGGAAGAGAUAAGUGCUGAAAGCAUCUAAGCACGAAACUUGCCCCGAGAUGAGUUCUCCCUGAGACUUAGAGUCUCCUGAAGGAACGUUGAAGACGACGACGUUGAUAGGCCGGGUGUGUAAGCGCAGCGAUGCGUUGAGCUAACCGGUACUAAUGAACCGUGAGGCUUAACCUU
RNAcentral lists this ribosomal RNA (2906 nucleotides) under Salmonella enterica subsp. enterica serovar Typhimurium. RNAcentral's name for it is "bacterial LSU rRNA". It matches the Rfam family "Bacterial large subunit ribosomal RNA". Lineage: Bacteria; Pseudomonadati; Pseudomonadota; Gammaproteobacteria; Enterobacterales; Enterobacteriaceae. The record is from RNAcentral.